This 497-nucleotide ribosomal RNA is filed under the name uncultured bacterium. RNAcentral's name for it is "partial 16S ribosomal RNA". It matches the Rfam family "Bacterial small subunit ribosomal RNA", at positions 28 to 507 of the family's 1533-position model. The record is from RNAcentral.
GAUGAACGCUGGCGGCGUGCCUAAUACAUGCAAGUCGAGCGAACGGACGAGAAGCUUGCUUCUCUGAUGUUAGCGGCGGACGGGUGAGUAACACGUGGAUAACCUACCUAUAAGACUGGGAUAACUUCGGGAAACCGGAGCUAAUACCGGACGAUAUUUUGAACCGCAUGGUUCAAAAGUGAAAGACGGUCUUGCUGUCACUUAUAGAUGGAUCCGCGCUGCAUUAGCUAGUUGGUAAGGUAACGGCUUACCAAGGCAACGAUGCAUAGCCGACCUGAGAGGGUGAUCGGCCACACUGGAACUGAGACACGGUCCAGACUCCUACGGGAGGCAGCAGUAGGGAAUCUUCCGCAAUGGGCGAAAGCCUGACGGAGCAACGCCGCGUGAGUGAUGAAGGUCUUCGGAUCGUAAAACUCUGUUAUUAGGGAAGAACAUAUGUGUAAGUAACUGCGCACAUCUUGACGGUACCUAAUCAGAAAGCCACGGCUAACUACGUG